GACGAGCGACACAAACGUUAUUCGGAAUCACUGGGCUUAAAGGGUGCGUAGGCGGCGCGGAAAGUGGGGUGUGAAAGCCCUCGGCUCAACCGAGGAAUUGCGCUCCAAACUACCGUGCUUGAGUGAGACAGAGGUAAGCGGAACUUCGGGUGGAACGGUGAAAUGUGUUGAUAUCCGAAGGAACACCGGUGGCGAAAGCGGCUUACUGGGUCGCAACUGACGCUGAUGCACGAAAGCCAGGGUAGCAAACGGG
This 253-nucleotide ribosomal RNA is filed under the name uncultured bacterium. RNAcentral describes it as "partial 16S ribosomal RNA". It matches the Rfam family "Bacterial small subunit ribosomal RNA", at positions 524 to 776 of the family's 1533-position model. The record is from RNAcentral.